Molecule: ribosomal RNA, 528 nt
Filed under: uncultured bacterium
Lineage: Bacteria
Description: bacterial SSU rRNA
Rfam family: Bacterial small subunit ribosomal RNA
Source: RNAcentral
CUUGACAUCCAGAGAACUUGGCAGAGAUGCCUUGGUGCCUUCGGGAACUCUGAGACAGGUGCUGCAUGGCUGUCGUCAGCUCGUGUUGUGAAAUGUUGGGUUAAGUCCGCAACGAGCGCAACCCCUAUCCUUUGUUGCCAGCGAUUCGGUCGGGAACUCAAAGGAGACUGCCGGUGAUAAACCGGAGGAAGGUGGGGAUGACGUCAAGUCAUCAUGGCCCUUACGAGUAGGGCUACACACGUGCUACAAUGGCGCAUACAAAGAGAAGCGACCUCGCGAGAGCAAGCGGACCUCAUAAAGUGCGUCGUAGUCCGGAUCGGAGUCUGCAACUCGACUCCGUGAAGUCGGAAUCGCUAGUAAUCGUAGAUCAGAAUGCUACGGUGAAUACGUUCCCGGGCCUUGUACACACCGCCCGUCACACCAUGGGAGUGGGUUGCAAAAGAAGUAGAUAGCUUAACCUUCGGGAGGGCGUUUACCACUUUGUGAUUCAUGACUGGGGUGAAGUCGUAACAAGGUAAGCGUAGACGU